RNAcentral lists this ribosomal RNA (102 nucleotides) under Cheilolejeunea comitans. Its description in RNAcentral is "partial 26S large subunit ribosomal RNA". It matches the Rfam family "Eukaryotic large subunit ribosomal RNA", at positions 1 to 101 of the family's 3401-position model. The record is from RNAcentral. Lineage: Eukaryota; Viridiplantae; Streptophyta; Jungermanniopsida; Porellales; Lejeuneaceae.
CGGACCUCAGAUCAGACAAGACCACCCGCUGAGUUUAAGCAUAUCACUAAGCGGAGGAGAAGAAACUAACAAGGAUUUCCCUAGUAACGGCGAGCGAACCGG